Small nuclear RNA from Suncus etruscus (white-toothed pygmy shrew), 110 nucleotides. The record is from RefSeq and is a predicted model, not a curated record. Lineage: Eukaryota; Metazoa; Chordata; Mammalia; Eulipotyphla; Soricidae.
GUGCUUGCUUCUGCAGCACAUAUAUACUAAAAUUGGAACGAUACAGAGAAGAUUAGCAUGGACCCUGAGCAAGGAUGACAUGCAUUCCAUAUUUAAAAAAAUAUGGCUUC